AACUAACAAGUUCUUUUUCUUUACUUCCCUUCUAUUCUAUUCACAGAAGUCAUUGCCUGCAAACAGCCUACCACAGUCUUGGGAAUGAACUCUGACAAACUAACCAUCAUAACAGUUGAUGCUUCCCAUUGAGGAUGGAAGAAUGGGGCUCCAAACUUUGUUAUACUGUUCUUGAAAGGUAUUUCAUCAGGAGAGAAAUGGCACCCCCUCCAGCUAUAGUUUCCACCUUGAUGUUCUUUUCUUACUUGGUAAUUGGCUUUUGUUUAUUAAUUCUAUGUAUUUUCCUAUUGUUUCUAAAAUUUUUUAGUCCAUUCCUUUGGGUUUUCUCUGUUUACAGGUUUAUGAUAAAAAAUUAAUUCCAAGGGGCACCUGACUUGCUCAGUCAGUGGAGCGUGUGACUCUUCAUCUUGGGACUGUGGGUUUGAGCCCCACGUUGGGUAUAGAGAUCAUUUAAAGGUAAAAUCUUAAAAAAGAAAGAAAGUGACAUUAAUUCCAAAUACAGUUCGUUAUU
RNAcentral lists this transfer RNA (511 nucleotides) under Canis lupus familiaris (dog). Its description in RNAcentral is "lncRNA (ENSCAFG00845001162.1)". Lineage: Eukaryota; Metazoa; Chordata; Mammalia; Carnivora; Canidae. The record is from RNAcentral.